RNAcentral lists this long non-coding RNA (2733 nucleotides) under Pan troglodytes (chimpanzee). Its description in RNAcentral is "long non-coding RNA NONPTRT006184". Lineage: Eukaryota; Metazoa; Chordata; Mammalia; Primates; Hominidae. The record is from RNAcentral.
CAGAACCAGGGGCCUGCAGGGGACAAAGGGGUUCGCAGGAAGGCAUGAGACAGCAGGAGGUCUCCUCCCCCAGGGUGUGUGGCUGGGUGGGGAGGGGUCCCAUCUGGAAAUCAAGGGCGCAAUGGAUCUAGGGUGACCAGCCCAUCCUGGCCCGCCUGAGACUUUUCCCUUUUUAGCACUAAAAGUGCCAGGGCCUUGCCUGGUGGCUCAGACCUGUAAUGCCAGCACAUUGGGAGGCUGACACCGGAGAAUCACCUGAGCCAGGAGAUUGAGCCCAGCCUGGGCAAUAUAGUGAGACUCCAUCUCUACGAAAUAAUAAAAUGAAUUACUAGCAAGGCGUGGUGGCAUGUGCCUGUGGUCCCAGCUACCAGGGAGGCUGAGGUGGGAGGAUCGCUUGAGCCCAGUAUUUUGAGGCUGCAGUGAGCCAUGAUCACACCACUGCACUGCGGCCCAGGCAACAGAGCAAGACCCUGUCUCAAAGAAGAAAAAAGUUCCACUUCCAGGGUAAGCCCACAGCCCCAGUGGGUCACUGGAAGUGGGCAGGAAACCAACAUAUAUGAGGCCAAGUGAAAUGACUCACCUUUGAAGAAGAAAGUUUCCCCUCGGAUGUUGGCGAUGGCGUCAAAAUUGCCCUCACAUCGAUCAGGGAUGGGGAAGGAUGGGCUGGGAGGAAAGGAGAGGUGAGUAGAGAGGGGGGUUUGUUUUCUCCAAGGCAGGGACCCCCACCAUCCCCAUCUCAGAGGACACUGAGGCUGGGCAGCUGGUCACCCAAGGUCACCGAGUUGGUGGGGGACUCACCUGUGUGUGGGCGAGGCCGGGGGCUGGGGCGGAGGAGCCAGGGGUUUCCUUGUGGGCUUGUCAUAUGGGGUUUGGGGCGCCUUCCCUGUGAGGAAAGAGGCAGGUGUGCGUCCCCUGGCCCUGCUGCAGAGGACGCUGGAUGGGGCAAUGACGGUUUCGCCGGCAGGUCCCUCUCCCCCUACCAUAGAGUUGCUGCAGGCCAUCGCGGUCAUCCUGAGACAGGCGGUACUUGUCAGGGUCGCCCACCGGACCCUGGUAGAAGGGCCUCAUAAUGGAGUUGGGGGCUGAGGAGUGGCCCAGGCCCAGGGCGUGGCCAAACUCAUGGACAGCCACGGCAAACAGGUCGGUCCCCUCGCCGUCUGCAGGAGAGAGUGGGUGAGAGCUGCGGCCGCCCCUGCAUGGGGAAAGGGGCCACAGGAAGGCCCUGCGAGUGCAGCUGGGGCCAACAGGAACAGCAGGACACCCUCCAGAGGUGGCCCCAGCCUCCUCUGCCCAGCCCUUGCUGAACUCUCCAUCAUCCCUGUCUCCAGUCACCCAGUCAGCAUGGCUGUGAUGGACACUGGACCACAGGGCUGAAAAGAUCCAGAGAACACACAGAGGAAUAGGCCACCUUACACACAGAUGGGGCCCCUCCUCUGGGAAGGGAGCACUUUGUGCACAGAAGUUUGAGGGGGAGGAGCUGGGUGUGGUGGCUCAUGCCUGUAAACUCAGCACUUUUGGAGUCCCAGGUGGGAGGAUCGCUUGAGCCCAAGAGUUCAAGACUGGCCUGGACAACAUAAGGAGAUCCCCAUCUCUACAAAAAAAUUUUAAAAAUUGGCCAGGAGUGGUGGCGCAUGCCUGUGGUCCCAGCUACUCAGGUCCCAGGCUGAGGCAGGGAGGCAGGAGAAUCGCUGGAGCCCGGGAGGUGGAGGCUGCAGUGAUGCAUGACCAUGUCACUGCACUCCAGCCUGGAGGACAGAACAAGGCCCCGUCUCAAAAAAAGUAAAAAGAAAAAAAAAAGAAAAAGAAAAUAAAAGAAACUUAAGAGGGCGGUGGGGUGAGGGCAGGAGCCUACAAGGUGCGUGCCAUUCUCUUCAGGCAGCCCCAGCCCUGGGAGCAUCCCCUCCUCCCAGCUACAGUCUAUAGUCAGCGACCCCCACCCGUCUCCCCCUUGCCACCCCCAUCUGCUGGGGAUGUAGGUCCAUGUCCUUGACCCAAGACCUUCCUUCAUUCCUGCGCCCAUCCCUCCUCAAGCCAUAUCCCUUAUAUCCCUUGAGUCCUCCAUCCCCCCUCCCCCAUCUCCCUGUCCACAGCCUCUGCCCCUCCUCUCCCUACCCUGUACCACCCCAACCCCAGGUCUUCCUCCAUCUCCUUGGGAACACAGAGCUCCUCUAGCAGGCACUCUCAGAACACAGCCUGCCAGCCCCAGCACCCGGCCUUGCUCCCAGCCUCUUCCCACCACAGCAGCCUCUUCCCUCUGUAUUCAGCUCAGGCGCUCAGGACUGCCAGGACCCAGAGGAUUCACACGACAGCCCCGGCUGAAGCCCAGCUCCUCAUCAACCGGUGAGCCGCCUGCCAGCUCCUGCUCCAGCUGCUGAGAAGCCUGAAGAGACCAAGACAGAGACACAGCCCCGCAGCACCACAGGGAGGCCCCAGUUACCCCAUGCGGAUGAGUUUCAUGGCCAUCUCUAACUAAGGACAGGACAUCGAUGUCAUCUGUAACUUCCAGUGCACUGGGGCACACAGCUGCAUCUCCCCAUGCUCACCUCCUGCCUCUUGCUCUGCCCAGUAAGCUCGCCAACCCCCGUGGACUGCUGGCUCUCAAGGCGACCGCUAGCCCAGCUCCGACAGCAGCUGACAAUGCACAGUAUGCGGCCCGGGACAGGCCCUGUGCUGAGAGGCAUGGGUGAAUCGCUCAUUUCAUCGGCAAGCCCACGCCACCAGCAGGCGCCGUUC